AGAGACGCGGAGAAACACGUUGGAAGACAUUUUAAAACCAUUGUUGGUGAACGUUGCCUCGGUUUGUCAGUACUGAGAAAGUUAUUAAUUACCGAUGAAGCCUGGAUGCUAAAACAAAUUUCGAAGCUGCAUUUUUAUCGAACACGAAUGAGGCUGGACGAUGAAUAUAUCUGCGGCGCGAAGGUUUACUGGUUCAGCUGCUGCAGCCUGGACACAAACACCAGCUCCCACCUUACAAACCAAACAGGUCUUCUCCUCCUGCACAGACAACAACACGCAUUGAUCACACAAACUCAUCUGUAAGUCCAAAUAGUUUUUUACAUAUUAGACUCCUGACUAGACUGACAGUGUGUGACACUUGACUGUUACAUUGAGU
This is a long non-coding RNA of Lates calcarifer (barramundi perch), 376 nucleotides long. RefSeq lists it as uncharacterized. The record is from RefSeq and is a predicted model, not a curated record. NCBI's taxonomy places the organism in Eukaryota, Metazoa, Chordata, Actinopteri, Centropomidae. The transcript is spliced from 3 exons.